This 513-nucleotide long non-coding RNA is filed under the name Mytilus galloprovincialis (Mediterranean mussel). Lineage: Eukaryota; Metazoa; Mollusca; Bivalvia; Mytilida; Mytilidae. The record is from RNAcentral.
AAUUCAAAACUUAACACCUUGGGAACACCACAUACAGUGUACCAAUCGCAAGUAAGUUAAAAAUAUAACCUAUACGUAUAAAAUAAAAUGAUGUUAAUAUGAAUGCAUGGGUAAGUAUUGACAUAAAUUAAAGCCAGAUCAACCAAUUCUAGAAUUAAAAACAGAUGAUUUAAAUAGAUGAAAACAGUUAACAAGCAGAAAAAGAAUUCAGAAUAGUAUGGGCUUUAUAAUCUAUGUGAUAUUGGACGUUACUAAAUUACUUUAAUCAAACAAGUUUUUACCUGCUUGUGCAAACGAAAAGUUUAAAAAAAUAUCAAAGAAACUAACCUUAUACUUUUUAACUCGUCUGCAUGUAAAUAAUUGGUGACGUUUGAGUUGAUACUAAAAUACGGUACCACUAUUACUGCACAGAUGGGUUUUUUUUUCAGAAAUUAAACAAAUGUUUCUCUGCUUGUUCAAACAAAAAAAUAAAAUAACAAUAUCAUCUGAUAUGACAAUCUAUGCCUUUAAUUU